CCUCCUGCGAGCUACAGCUGUCUGUAUGUCUGCUACAGGAGUUUAUGGAUUAAUAUCGGGAUCGUUUUACAUCUACACAUUAAAUAUGAGCAUCGGGACGUCAACAAAGAACAGAAUACUUGAGAUCUGAGCACCAUUGGACAGUAAGGACUAUGGAAGAGAAGAUGUGAUGGCUUUGUGUGGAAAGCUGCUGACGCCAGCCUGUGUCCCUCAUCAGUCUCUCCAGGCAGCACCCAGCUAUUCUUCCAUCUUGCAGAUGAAAAUACUUUGAUACACCUGGACACAGCAGGAACCUACGCCAGAAUCCUGUUAGUGGACUUCAGCUCUGCCUUCAACACAAUCCAUCAGGACCAGAACCUCUCUCCAUCAGGACCAACACCUCUCUCCAUCAGGACCAACACCUCUCUCCAUCAGGAUCAGAACCUCUCUCCAUCAGGACCAACACCUCUCUCUAUCAGGACCAGAACCUCUCUCCAUCAGGACCAGAACCUCUCGCCACCUCAACAAGGCCCCCCCCCACUGACACUUUACCUCAGCCGCAACGCAGACUAUGCAUUAUAUAAUGGAGAUCACAGGAUGGUAAAUAAUGCAAUGUUUGAAUAUUGCUUACUGCACAUAUUUUAUAUUCUAUAAUUUAUUGCAUUCUAUUUCGAUGUAAGUUACUGCUUUAUUUUAUUUCUAUCUUACUAUAUUUUUAUUACAGUGUUCUUAAUAUAGUUCGCUAU
Gymnodraco acuticeps is the source of this 725-nucleotide long non-coding RNA. RefSeq lists it as uncharacterized. The record is from RefSeq and is a predicted model, not a curated record. NCBI's taxonomy places the organism in Eukaryota, Metazoa, Chordata, Actinopteri, Perciformes, Bathydraconidae. The transcript is spliced from 3 exons.